GACGAACGCUGGCGGCGUGCUUAACACAUGCAAGUGGAGCGACGAACCAGGGCUUGCCCUGGGGCAGAGCCGCGAACGGGUGAGUAACACGUAGGUAACGUGCCCCGAUGACUGGGACAACCCGGGGAAACCCGGGCUAAUACCGGAUGUGCCCCCUCACAUCAGUGAGGUGUGUAAAGGAAGCUUCGGCCUCCGCAUCGGGAUCGGCCCGCGGCCCAUUAGCUUGUUGGUGAGGUAACGGCUCACCAAGGCUGCGAUGGGUAGCUGGUCUGAGAGGACGAUCAGCCACACUGGGACUGAGACACGGCCCAGACUCCUACGGGAGGCAGCAGUGGGGAAUCUUGCGCAAUGCGCGAAAGCGUGACGCAGCAACGCCGCGUGGGGGAAGACGGCCUUCGGGUUGUAAACCCCUUUCAGUUGGGACGAAGGUCGGGCGGUUAACAGCCGUUCCGGCUGACGGUACCUUCACAAGAAGCCCCGGCUAACUACGUG
This 492-nucleotide ribosomal RNA is filed under the name uncultured bacterium. Its description in RNAcentral is "partial 16S ribosomal RNA". It matches the Rfam family "Bacterial small subunit ribosomal RNA", at positions 28 to 507 of the family's 1533-position model. The record is from RNAcentral.